UUUGUCAUUGGGUGAUGAUCUACCC
This 25-nucleotide small nuclear RNA is filed under the name Arabidopsis thaliana (thale cress). Its description in RNAcentral is "snRNA_08603". The record is from RNAcentral. Lineage: Eukaryota; Viridiplantae; Streptophyta; Magnoliopsida; Brassicales; Brassicaceae.